CCCCUCUCAGGGUCACACCUGGAGAGUUUCCAUUACUCUACCAGUCUCGAGUACGAGAGGGAGAGUCAAGCAGAGUCAUAUCCAUUCCAUUCCUAGUUUGGGCAGUGGCUAGUGAGUGGAAGGUAAUCUGCUACAAGU
Small nucleolar RNA from Tachyglossus aculeatus (Australian echidna), 138 nucleotides. The record is from RefSeq and is a predicted model, not a curated record. Lineage: Eukaryota; Metazoa; Chordata; Mammalia; Monotremata; Tachyglossidae.